Molecule: ribosomal RNA, 305 nt
Filed under: uncultured bacterium
Lineage: Bacteria
Description: partial 16S ribosomal RNA
Rfam family: Bacterial small subunit ribosomal RNA
Source: RNAcentral
ACAGCAGUCGCCGCGGUAAUACAGAGGGUGCGAGCGUUAAUCGGAUUUACUGGGCGUAAAGCGUGCGUAGGCGGCUAAUUGAGUCGGAUGUGAAAUCCCCGAGCUUAACUUGGGAAUUGCAUUCGAUACUGGUUAGCUAGAGUGUGGGAGAGGAUGGUAGAAUUCCAGGUGUAGCGGUGAAAUGCGUAGAGAUCUGGAGGAAUACCGAUGGCGAAGGCAGCCAUCUGGCCUAACACUGACGCUGAGGUACGAAAGCAUGGGGAGCAAACAGGAUUAGAUACCCCGGUAGUCCCUGUCUCUUAUAC